RNAcentral lists this unclassified non-coding RNA (224 nucleotides) under uncultured Agaricales. RNAcentral describes it as "sequence contains ITS2". Lineage: Eukaryota; Fungi; Basidiomycota; Agaricomycetes; Agaricales. The record is from RNAcentral.
AUAUCUCAACACAGACAGGGUUAAUCCUGUUCUGAUGCUUGGAUGUUGAAGGCUUGCUGGCAACCUUACUUGCUUGCUCCUUUUAAAUAUAUUAGCAGAAACCAGUACAAAAUCUGGCUUCAGUUUGAUAAAUACUUAUCUGUAUAACUGUUGCUAGUGAAAGCUUGUGUUUCAGCUUCCAAUUGUCCAUUUAAUGGACUGUCUCUCGAGGCAUACUUUGACAC